This 322-nucleotide ribosomal RNA is filed under the name uncultured Spongospora. RNAcentral describes it as "SSU rRNA". The stretch from base 112 to 322 matches the Rfam family "Eukaryotic small subunit ribosomal RNA", at positions 744 to 955 of the family's 1831-position model. The record is from RNAcentral. Lineage: Eukaryota; Endomyxa; Phytomyxea; Plasmodiophorida; Plasmodiophoridae.
GAUUUCUGGCUUGAAACAUUUAGCCGGCCACGGUUUCGUGUGUUAGUGCUUGAUGUUCUGGCCAUCCUUCCAAUCGCUAUUGGCUAGUCUUCAUUGAUUGGUCAGUGGUAUUGGAUCUUUUACUUUGAAAAAAUUAGAGUGUUUCAAGCAGGCUUUAUGCUAUGAAUACAUUAGCAUGGAAUAAUAAUUUAGGACUUCGGUUCUAUUUUGUUGGUUUCUAGGACUGAAGUAAUGAUUGAUAGGGACAGUUGGGGGUGCUAGUAUUCAGCGGCCAGAGGUGAAAUUCUCGGAUUCGCUGAAGACUAACUUAUGCGAAAGCAUU